This 508-nucleotide ribosomal RNA is filed under the name uncultured bacterium. RNAcentral describes it as "partial 16S ribosomal RNA". It matches the Rfam family "Bacterial small subunit ribosomal RNA", at positions 28 to 507 of the family's 1533-position model. The record is from RNAcentral.
GACGAACGCUGGCGGCGUGCCUAAUACAUGCAAGUCGAACGCUUCUUUCCUCCCGAGUGCUUGCACUCAAUUGGAAAGAGGAGUGGCGGACGGGUGAGUAACACGCUGGUAACCUACCCAUCAGAGGGGGAUAACACUUGGAAACAGGUGCUAAUACCGCAUAACAGUUUAUGCCGCAUGGCAUAAGAGUGAAAGGCGAUUUCGGGUGUCGCUGAUGGAUGGACCCGCGGUGCAUUAGCUAGUUGGUGAGGUAACGGCUCACCAAGGCGACGAUGCAUAGCCGACCUGAGAGGGUGAUCGGCCACACUGGGACUGAGACACGGCCCAGACUCCUACGGGAGGCAGCAGUAGGGAAUCUUCGGCAAUGGACGAAAGUCUGACCGAGCAACGCCGCGUGAGUGAAGAAGGUUUUCGGAUCGUAAAACUCUGUUGUUAGAGAAGAACAAGGACGUUAGUAACUGAACGUCCCCUGACGGUAUCUAACCAGAAAGCCACGGCUAACUACGUG